Molecule: long non-coding RNA, 528 nt
Filed under: Oryctolagus cuniculus (rabbit)
Lineage: Eukaryota; Metazoa; Chordata; Mammalia; Lagomorpha; Leporidae
Description: lncRNA (ENSOCUG00000039411.1)
Source: RNAcentral
CUAUAGAAAGUCGAGUGUAAAAUAUUGCUUCAUGCCUCCGGAUUUUCUCUGAACUUUUGACGCACUAAGCUGUGCCUGGGAGACUCUGGCCAAUCCUCAAGCAUCUCCCAAGGAACUUUUGGGAGCCUGGUACCCAGAGAGAACCAUCCAGAAUUUCAGCUGAAGACUCUCUUGGCUCCGUCUCUCCUCUUCUGCGCCACUCUGAACACUUGAUCUGGGACCUUCUUCAAGGGCAUGCUUCAGUAGCUGAAGAGCAACUGUGAAGCAUCAGUGGGGGCCUUGAAUCUGCACCCAGCAAGUCUAACAGCUUUUUCACUGCCAGAAAGGGAUGGAAAAUUCAACUAGUGGUUGUUUGCGCUGCUCCUUUGCCUACAGUUCGGUUUUCUUCUAAAAAAGACACCCAAUUUUAUAGCCUUCCUGUAUGCAGAGGAGUGGCACAUUCAGAUGAAAGGACCAUAACAACUGUUCAGUUCAUGCAAUGUUAUGACUGAAGUCCAGAGUAAUAAAAAUGUAUUUGAGUGUAUUACA